CCCGAGCUCCCAACAAAACGGUUCCAUCUUUGGCUAGGCCUUUGGUAUUUCAAGGCGCUGCCGGUGGGGAGAGAUGCCGCGUGCCUGAGAGGCUCUGGGAGCCUAGUUUAUCUCCCGGGAGCUGACUUCAUUUCUAAACGUAUAGGGGUUUCUUAGAGGAGCUUCAGAAUACUAAUCAUCGCUAGUGAGGGCACUUGGACACUUUGCUUCACCUCAGCCAGCACCUCUUUUCCCAGCUGUAAAAUGAGAGCUAAUGCUGGCAGCUGUUGGGAUGUCCUCUUCCAGGAAUGGUGAUGAGUUUCCCUGGAUCCAGCCCUGGCUUGGCUGAGGUUUUUCUCACUGUAAGAAGAGGACAAUAGCCUAUGAUCUACAGUGCCCAUUCCAACUCAGAGAAUCUUUACAUCUGGAGAUCUAUAGCAGGGCUAUCCCUAGUGACAUGCGUGAAGAAGCUUGGAAAUGGUGCUGGGUAGGAGCUGAGUGUGCAGAAUGUGGAAAGGCAUUCUAAACCAAAGGAAGAACACGAGUAAAGAUGAUGAAGCAGGGAUAAGGCUAAAAUGAAAUUUGUGAUCUGAUCCACAUACAAGCACAGUGUAGUACAGCUGGAAUAUAGAGAAGAGCUUGAAGACUUAUGAGCAACUAUCCCGGUACUCUUGGAGGCUCUGCAACCACAGUUUGAGAAACUCCGCGUUCAAAGUUAAAAACUGUCACCUGAAUAGUUAAUAACAUCAAAGAUUGUGAAAGCAAGUAUAAAUAACACAGAGAUUAAAAUAAUGAGGCAGGAUCAGAAAUUGCUGACCUCCAUAACAGCAGACAAAAUUGGAAGCAAGAGUGAUUUUGGAGGAGUCACACUUAGAUGUUUCCCUUACCUAUUUCUGUUCUGGAAAUUUAAAAAUCUUACUUCUCGUGACAGUCCUACAUGAAAAAUUAAAAAUCACAAGGAUUCAUGGAUGGAAAACUGAGACUCAGAGAAUGAUCACAUUCACAUCGUAAUAAAUCAGCAAUAGAGUGAGUGAUUGUUCCUUGGUAAGAAAUCAACUCUAAACUCAGUUGGAAACCUUUGCCAAUAUUACUUAACACAUGACAAUCUGGUGUGACUCAUUUUUCUUGACAUUAUGCAAAUAAAGGAAACAAGACUGAGUGGCCUUCUGUCCGGAGAGCAGGAAAUGAAGGCUGUCUGGGGCCACAUGUUUCCUGGGACAUGUGGUGUCAGAAAUGGGUACUAGAAGAACCAGGCCUUU
RNAcentral lists this long non-coding RNA (1238 nucleotides) under Homo sapiens (human). Its description in RNAcentral is "HSALNT0317217". Lineage: Eukaryota; Metazoa; Chordata; Mammalia; Primates; Hominidae. The record is from RNAcentral.